AGUAUACUUGCCUUGUUUCUUUCUAAUCGGCCCUAGUCGCGAAUCUUUUUUGCUUUCCAGUCCAUUUUCAACAUUGUUUGUCCCGUAGCUUUACCACAACUCAUUGAUACCUUAGCAGCUAUUUAAAAGUCUAACUAAAAGGUCCUAACAGAAAGAGUCUGACGUUGACGUUCCACAAUACAAUGCUUAAUCCGGAACACCGGCGAAUGAGGAAUUCCAAUGCGUCAGCCAUUUCGUCACCGUCGAUUUGCGCAAGUAUGUAGAAAGAUGAUCUUGCUGCUGUUGUCGUCGCCGUCGCCGUCGUCGCCGUCGUCGUCGUCGUUCGUCUAUGUUAACGCGGUUGAAUCCGAUGUUGUGUUGGAUGUAAUAUGCAUUUUCUAAUCUACUUAAAGCCGCACGUCGAGAAAACAGCGCUUGUAAUCGCCAUCCAGAAACCGUAACUCCAAGGCCCUCGUCUACAUGCUUAUUACGCACGCGGUUCAGAUAACAGUGGAUUAAAAUAAUUAAAAACUAUCCAUGAUGUGAACAUUUUGCAGACAUAAUCUGGCCAUGAUAGGACUAGUUGCAAAAACCGGGCGGACGAAUGGUAAACGCUAACGAAGAAACAGUGGUCAGAUCAGAACGAAGACCCUAUGCACAGAUUGGCUGUAGUCAAAGUAAAAUGCAGAAUAGUAAGUUAGAAUGAUUGUAUCGGGUUAUAUGGAUUAGAUGAGCUAUAUGGCAUCACAGGUUUAUCUUUGGCCAUAGAGAAUUUCUAAAUAGUGAUCGGUAGCAGUCCGAAUCGAAAGGACGAUCUUGCAGUUGAAAACACUUUCUAGUAAUGGUUACGAUGAAAGAUUCUAGGAUACCGUAUGAUGUACACUAGUGUGAAAAUCUAACAAAUAUAGCAGUGGAUCCUCCAA
Long non-coding RNA from Varroa destructor (honeybee mite), 902 nucleotides. NCBI's taxonomy places the organism in Eukaryota, Metazoa, Arthropoda, Arachnida, Mesostigmata, Varroidae. The record is from RefSeq and is a predicted model, not a curated record.